GCCGAAGUGGCGGAAUUGGCAGACGCGCAUGGUUCAGGUCCAUGUGCCCGCAAGGGCGUGGGGGUUCGAGUCCCUUCUUCGGCACCA
Molecule: transfer RNA, 87 nt
Filed under: Acidobacteriota bacterium
Lineage: Bacteria; Pseudomonadati; Acidobacteriota
Also listed under: 4 other names
Description: Acidobacteria bacterium tRNA-Leu
Rfam family: tRNA
About the family: Transfer RNA (tRNA) molecules are approximately 80 nucleotides in length. Their secondary structure includes four short double-helical elements and three loops (D, anti-codon, and T loops).
Source: RNAcentral